GUUCCCGGCGCAGCCCCGGCCCGGCGCGCGCGGGGGGGAGGAGCUGCGGCGGCCGCGGCCACGGCCACUCGGGCAGGUCGGCGGCGCCGCGGGAACCCGCCGACGGCGCGGACUGCUGGUCCCCGCGCGCAGGAGGCGCGGGCGGCCCUGGGGCCAUGGAGCCUGGUGACGCGGCGCGCCUCGGCCGGGGCCGGGCGGCCCGGGCGCUGCCACCGCGGCUGCUGCUGCUGCCGCUGCUGCCGCUGCUGCUGGGUCGGGGGCUGCGCGCCGCGGCCUCGGCCUCCUCCUCUGGGGCGGCGGCCGAGGACAGCAGCGCCAUGGAGGAGCUCGCCACUGAGAAGGAGGCGGAGGAGAGCCACCGGCAAGACAGCGUGAGCCUGCUCACCUUCAUCCUGCUGCUCACGCUCACCAUCCUCACCAUCUGGCUCUUCAAGCACCGCCGGGUGCGCUUCCUGCACGAGACCGGGCUGGCCAUGAUCUACGGGCUCAUCGUGGGCGUGAUCCUGAGGUAUGGCACCCCCGCCACUGGUGGUCAUGACAAGUCAGUGAGCUGUACUCAGGAAGACAGGGCCUUCAGCACCUUAUUAGUGAACGUCAGUGGGAAGUUCUUCGAAUACACCCUGAAAGGAGAAAUCAGCCCUGGCAAGAUCAACAGCGUAGAGCAGAAUGACAUAUUGAGGAAGGUAACGUUUGAUCCAGAGGUCUUUUUCAACAUUCUCCUGCCUCCGAUUAUUUUCCAUGCCGGCUACAGUUUAAAGAAGAGACACUUUUUCAGAAAUCUCGGGUCUAUUCUGGCUUAUGCUUUCUUGGGGACUGCCGUUUCCUGCUUCAUUAUUGGGAAUCUCAUGUACGGUGUAGUGAAGCUCAUGAAAGUCGUGGGGCAGCUCUCGGAUAAGUUUUACUACACAGACUGUCUCUUUUUCGGAGCCAUCAUCUCUGCCACUGACCCAGUGACCGUACUGGCGAUAUUUAACGAACUGCACGCAGACGUGGACCUCUACGCACUCCUGUUUGGAGAAAGCGUCCUCAAUGAUGCUGUUGCCAUUGUCCUGUCCUCGUCUAUCGUUGCCUACCAGCCAGCGGGGCUGAACACUCAUGCCUUUGAUGCUGCUGCCUUUUUUAAAUCGGUGGGCAUCUUCCUAGGUAUAUUCAGUGGCUCUUUUACCAUGGGAGCCGUAACUGGCGUCGUGACGGCUCUAAUAUCCAAAUUCACCAAGCUGCACUGCUUCCCCCUCCUGGAGACGGCACUCUUCUUCCUGAUGUCCUGGAGCACGUUCCUUUUGGCGGAAGCCUGUGGCUUUACAGGCGUUGUGGCUGUCCUUUUCUGUGGCAUCACACAGGCUCAUUACACCUACAACAAUCUGUCGGUGGAAUCAAGAAGUCGAACGAAGCAGCUCUUUGAGGUGUUACACUUCCUGGCAGAGAACUUCAUCUUCUCCUACAUGGGCCUGGCUCUCUUUACCUUCCAGAAGCAUGUCUUCAGCCCCGUUUUCAUCAUUGGAGCUUUUGUUGCCAUCUUCCUGGGCCGAGCUGCACACAUCUACCCGCUCUCCUUCUUCCUCAACUUGGGCAGAAGGCAUAAGAUUGGCUGGAACUUUCAACACAUGAUGAUGUUUUCAGGCCUCAGGGGCGCGAUGGCAUUUGCGCUGGCCAUCCGCGACACGGCAUCCUACGCUCGCCAGAUGAUGUUCACGACCACCCUCCUCAUCGUCUUCUUCACUGUCUGGAUCAUUGGCGGAGGCACAACACCCAUGCUGUCGUGGCUUAACAUAAGAGUUGGCGUCGAGGAGCCCUCCGAAGAGGACCAGAACGAACGCCGCUCACAGUACUUCAGAGUCGGUGUUGACCCAGAUCAAGACCCACCACCCAACAACGACAGCUUUCAAGUCUUACAAGGGGAUGGUCCGGAUUCUGCCAGAGGGAACCGGACGAAGCAGGAGAGUGCGUGGCUCUUCAGGCUGUGGUACAGCUUUGACCACAAGUAUCCUUUUCAGUGACCUCCCUGUACUCGUGAAACAGCGGUGAUGAAAUUCUCUUGUUGAGUCAUCCGUGAACAACUUCUGACGAAAAAUAAGAAACAAUCCUAAACUUUGUAUGGAACCACAAAAUACUGUGAAUAGCUAACGCAAUCUAGGGCAAAAUGAACGGAGCUGAGGUGCCACACUUCGUGAUUUCAAAUUAUAUUACAAAGGCAUUGUAAUCAAAAUGGUAUUAGCAUUAAAACAGAUAUACAGGGGCACCUGGGUGGCUCAGUCGGUUAAGCAUCCAACUACGGCUCAGGUCAUGAUUUCCUGGUCUGUGAGUUUGAGCCCCAUGCCGAGCUCUGUACUGACAACUCAGAGCCUGGAGCCUAGAUUCUGUGUCUCCCUCUCUCUCUCUGCUCCUCCCCACUCGCACUCUUUCUCUCUCUCCAAAAUAAAUGAACGUUAAAAAAUAAAAACAGAUCUACAGACCAGUGGAACAGAAGAGGGAGCCCAGAAACAUACCCUCACAUAUUGGAUCGACUAAUCUUCAACCAAGGCGCUGAGAAUAUGUAAUAGGGAAGGGGCAGUCUCCUUGAUAAAUGGUGUCAGGAAAACUGGAUAUCCACAUGCAAUAGAAUGAAACUGGAACUUAUCUUGCACCACUCACAAAAAGGAACUCAAAAUGUUUAAAGACUUAAGUGCAAGACCUGGAACCAUAACACUCCUAGAACAAAAAAACACAGGGGAAAGCUCCUUGACAUUGGUCUUGACAGUGCGUUUUUGGACUUUACUCCACAAGCGUAGGCAGCAGAAGCAAAAAUAGACAAAUGGGACUACAUCAAACGAGAAGAUUUCUGCACAGCAUGGGAAACCAUCCAUAGUAUGAGAAGACAACCUGUAUAAUGGAAGAAAAUAUUUGCAAUCCAUGUAUCUGAUAAGGGGUUAAUAUUCAAAAUAUAUAAGGAGUUCCUAUAACUCAACAGCCAAAAUCCAAAUACCCCAAUUCAAAGAGGGGCAAAGGACCUGAAUAGACAUUUUUCCAAAGAAGACAUACACUUGGCCAACAGAUAUGUGAAAAGUUGCUCAACAUCACUCAUCACCAGGGAAAUGCAUAUCAAAACCACAAUGAGAUCUCUCCUCACAUCUGUUAGGAUGGCUGUUAUCAAAAUGGGAAAAAAAUAACAAGCCAAGUUGGGAGGAUGUGGAGAAAAGGAGACCCUUCUACACUGUCGAUGGGAUGUAAAUUGGUGCACCCACGGUGGAAAAACAGUAUGGAGGUUCCUCAAAAAAUUAGAAAUCCGCACUCCCAUGUUCACAGCAACACUAUUCACAGUAAUGAAGAUAAUGGCAACAACUUGAGUGUUACUAACACUGUAUCGUAUGCUGGAAAUUUUAACAUUUUCUGAGAGGGUAGAUCUUAAGCGUUUGCACCACACAUAGCCAGAAAGAUGGUAACAUGUGAAGUGAUGGAUAUGUUAAUUAGCUUGAUUGUAGCAAUCAUUUCACAAUAUACACAUAUCUAAACAUCUUGUACACCUUUCAUGUGUUCAGUGUUUGUCAGUCGUACUUCAGUGAAGCUGAGUGCGGAAGAAACUGACUCUUUGCAGGGCAACAGGAGUGAUCUCUGAAGUCUCUGAAUGUAAAGUUUAGUGACUGGGAUUUCUACUUGUUUAGUUUGGAGGUGGGAGACCAAGAACGGAAAGCGUCUGAGGAAUUAUACCAGGAAGGUGCCCACGAUUCAUUCUAUAGCUCCAGAGAUGAUUAAAUGAGAAGACUUGGCUUUGGCUACAACAGAAGAGGAUCCAGCUGGGCGGGAAUGGUCCCCACAAGCCGGCAAGAGGAAGCGUGGUACCUCCUUCCCGGAACAAGCCUGAAAAUGGAAUCGAUGGCCUUCCGAUGUAAGAGGAGAGGCUCGGUGCGCACAUACAGCUCUCCUGGGGCUCCUGGAAAUCACAGAAGAGAUAUUCGUGACUGCUUGCAAGACCAAAGCUGUAGUUUUCUCUGCUCCGACUCCAUCUGUCUUCGAGUCUUGACCAGUACUUUCUGUGCCAGCAGAUCGGCUGAUAGCUGUUAAUUUUCUCCUCGGGCCAUAGCUCUCUAAAGAAAGGAGAGCUACUGCCUGGGGAGGGAUUGGUAGAGAAACAGAUCUUGAGGCCACCGAAGAUUUUUCUCCCUAGAGUAACCUCCCCACCAUCCAACUUUGGAGUGGUAGACUUCCGCACCUGCUUGAUGAACUGAGAAACUGAGUAAAGACAUGGGAGGGGGGCACGCCAAAGUAAUUAAUUCCGUGUGUGUGUGUGUGUGUGUGUGUGUGUGUGUGUACUUCCAUAUGUAUAUUUUCUCACCAAGUAAACUCUAUGCCCAAUGCAGGGCUCAAACUCAUGACCCUGAGAUCAAGAGUUGCAUGCCCUACCGACUGAGCCAGCCAGGCACCCUACCAGAUAUUUAUUUUUUAAUUUUUCUUUUUAAAAUUUUUUUAAUGUUUGUUUAUUUAUUUUUGAGAGAGAGAGAACGCAAGCUGGGAAGGGGCAGAGAGAGAAUCCCAAGCAGGCUCCAAGCUGUCAGCGCAGAGCCCGAAGCAGGGCUUGAACCCACCAACCGUGAGAUCGUGAUCUGAGCCCAAAUCAAGAGCCAGACACUUAACCAACUGAGCCACCCAGGCACCCCUAUUUUUUUAAUUGUUCUAAUAAAAGCCUUGGAGUCGAGAGGCUUUUCCAGUCACGAUGUAAGAACGGGUUAUUAGGAAAAGCACUCAGCGCACCUGAGUGGCUCAGUAGGUUAAGUGUCUGACUUCUGCUCAGGUCAUGAUCUCGUGGUUCAUGGGUUCGAGCCCCGCAUUGGGCUCUGUGCUGACAGCUCAGAGCCCGGAGCCUGCUUCAGAUUCUGUGUCUUCCUCUCUCCCUCUCUCUCUGCCCCUCCCACUCCCUCACUUGCUCGCUCACUCGCUCUCAAAAAUAAACAAACAUUAAAAAAAUUAAAAAGAAAAAGAAGCACUCAGAUGAGAAGAAGCUCUUAGAAAUUAAAGUUUCUGAAAUGAACCCCAAAAUGUAAUGGAUAGUUUAAUUACAUGGUGGAGACCAAACUGUUGAUCUGGAAGAUGAAGUUGAGGAAGAGAAUCUGUAAGAAUUCAAGCACAAAGUCAGAGAUGUGCAAGAAAGGGUUGCAAGACAGUGAGGUUACAGCCAGAAGGUCCACAGUCCUUGAACAGAAUAUGAAAGGAGAAGACAAGAGACCAUGGAGGAAAAAAAGAAGCAAAGAAAGAAUGAAAGAACAUUCCAAAACUAAGGAGGAAAAGCGGGGCUCUUCAAGGCUUCCAAAGAGAAAAACUGGAAUCCUCUAAAGAGAACGAACCAGGGGCACCUGAGCGGCUCAGUCAGUUAAGCAUCCGACUUCGGUUCAGGUCAUGAUGUCACAGUUUGUGGGUCCAAGCCCCACAUCGGGUUCCAUGCUAACAGUUCAGAACCUGGAGCCUGCUUUGGCUUCUGUGUCUUCCUCUCUCGCUGCCCCUUUCCCACUCACACUUUGUCUGUCUGUCUUUCUCUCUUUCUC
RNA transcript from Neofelis nebulosa (Clouded leopard), 5513 nucleotides. It is a transcript of the gene named solute carrier family 9 member A7, with no coding region annotated. The transcript is spliced from 16 exons. NCBI's taxonomy places the organism in Eukaryota, Metazoa, Chordata, Mammalia, Carnivora, Felidae. The record is from RefSeq and is a predicted model, not a curated record.